This 72-nucleotide transfer RNA is filed under the name Bacteriophage sp. Its description in RNAcentral is "tRNA-Ser". It matches the Rfam family "tRNA". Rfam says of the family: Transfer RNA (tRNA) molecules are approximately 80 nucleotides in length. Their secondary structure includes four short double-helical elements and three loops (D, anti-codon, and T loops). Further hydrogen bonds mediate the characteristic L-shaped molecular structure. tRNAs have two regions of fundamental functional importance: the anti-codon, which is responsible for specific mRNA codon recognition, and the 3' end, to which the tRNAs corresponding amino acid is attached (by aminoacyl-tRNA synthetases). tRNAs cope with the degeneracy of the genetic code in two manners: having more than one tRNA (with a specific anti-codon) for a particular amino acid; and 'wobble' base-pairing, i.e. permitting non-standard base-pairing at the 3rd anti-codon position. The record is from RNAcentral.
UGCGCGGUGGAGCAGUGGCAGCUUACCAGAGUGCUUUUCUGGAUGUCGGAGGUUCGAUUCCUCCCUGCGCGA